Molecule: microRNA, 21 nt
Filed under: Glycine max (soybean)
Lineage: Eukaryota; Viridiplantae; Streptophyta; Magnoliopsida; Fabales; Fabaceae
Description: gma-miR9722
Source: miRBase by way of RNAcentral
UAAUAGAGGGAAGAAGAUGAA